UACGGGAGGCAGCAGUGGGGAAUAUUGCACAAUGGGCGAAAGCCUGAUGCAGCUAUGCCGCGUGUAUGAAGAAGGCCUUAGGGUUGUAAAGUACUUUCAUCGGGGAGGAAAAAACAAAACUAAUAAUUUUAUUUCUUGACGUUACCCGAAAAAGAAGCACCGGCUAACUCCGUGCCAGCAGCCGCGGUAAUACGGAGGGUGCUAGCGUUAAUCAGAAUUACUGGGCGUAAAGAGCACGUAGGUGGUUUUUUUAAAGUCAGAUGUGAAAUCCCUGGGCUUAACCUGGAACUGCAUUUUGAAACUGAAAUACUAGAGUAUCGUAGAGGGAGGUAGAAUUCUAGGUGUAGCGGUUGAAAUGCGUAGAUAUCUGGAGGAAUACCUGUGGCGAAAGCGGCCUCCUAAACGAAUACUGACACUGAGGGUGCGAAAGCGUGGGGAGCAAACAGGGAUUAGAUACCCGU
This 461-nucleotide ribosomal RNA is filed under the name uncultured bacterium. Its description in RNAcentral is "bacterial SSU rRNA". It matches the Rfam family "Bacterial small subunit ribosomal RNA", at positions 340 to 789 of the family's 1533-position model. The record is from RNAcentral.